RNAcentral lists this ribosomal RNA (468 nucleotides) under uncultured bacterium. RNAcentral describes it as "partial 16S ribosomal RNA". It matches the Rfam family "Bacterial small subunit ribosomal RNA", at positions 28 to 507 of the family's 1533-position model. The record is from RNAcentral.
GACGAACGCUGGCGGCGUGCUUAACACAUGCAAGUCGAACGGAAAGGCCCUGCUUUUGUGGGGUGCUCGAGUGGCGAACGGGUGAGUAACACGUGAGUAACCUGCCCUUGACUUUGGGAUAACUUCAGGAAACUGGGGCUAAUACCGGAUAGGAGCUCCUGCUGCAUGGUGGGGGUUGGAAAGUUUCGGCGGUUGGGGAUGGACUCGCGGCUUAUCAGCUUGUUGGUGGGGUAGUGGCUUACCAAGGCUUUGACGGGUAGCCGGCCUGAGAGGGUGACCGGCCACAUUGGGACUGAGAUACGGCCCAGACUCAUACGGGAGGCAGCAGUGGGGAAUGUUGCACAAUGGGCGGAAGCCUGAUGCAGCAACGCCGCGUGCGGGAUGACGGCCUUCGGGUUGUAAACCGCUUUCGCCUGUGACGAAGCGGGAGUGACGGUAAUGGGUAAAGAAGCACCGGCUAACUACGUG